RNAcentral lists this ribosomal RNA (434 nucleotides) under uncultured bacterium. RNAcentral describes it as "partial 16S ribosomal RNA". It matches the Rfam family "Bacterial small subunit ribosomal RNA", at positions 29 to 507 of the family's 1533-position model. The record is from RNAcentral.
AGCGAACGCUGGCGGCAGGCCUAACACAUGCAAGUCGAACGAACCUUUCGGGGUUAGUGGCGGACGGGUGAGUAACACGUGGGAACGUGCCUUUAGGUUCGGAAUAACUCUGGGAAACUUGUGCUAAUACCGAAUGUGCCCUUCGGGGGAAAGAUUUAUCGCCUUUAGAGCGGCCCGCGUCUGAUUAGCUAGUUGGUUGAGGUAAUGGCUCACCAAGGCGACGAUCAGUAGCUGGUCUGAGAGGAUGAUCAGCCACAUUGGGACUGAGACACGGCCCAAACUCCUACGGGAGGCAGCAGUGGGGAAUCUUGCGCAAUGGGCGAAAGCCUGACGCAGCCAUGCCGCGUGAAUGAUGAAGGUCUUAGGAUUGUAAAAUUCUUUCACCGGGGACGAUAAUGACGGUACCCGGAGAAGAAGCCCCGGCUAACUUCGUG